RNAcentral lists this long non-coding RNA (820 nucleotides) under Medicago truncatula (barrel medic). Its description in RNAcentral is "lncRNA gene30040". The record is from RNAcentral. Lineage: Eukaryota; Viridiplantae; Streptophyta; Magnoliopsida; Fabales; Fabaceae.
CCCAAUUCCAUUUCUCUUCUCCUGAACUAGAUUUUGUUUCGUUACAAUCUCAUCAGACAAGAUCUUUAUCCCUUUAUAUGUCCAGAUCUCAACUCUAUAACAAACAAAGAUUCAAACUUUACACACAAACAAAAAAAUUAAAACUUUACAAAAAACAAAGAUUUGUUCCUGUCCUUUGAAGACACAAAGAAGAACAACACUUCAUCUUCAUCUUCUACAAAGAUCUUUUUACAGCGAAUCUGUUCUUGUCCUUUGAGUGAAUAUGGAUUUUUGGAUUUGGGUUGAUGCCACCCAUUUUCUCAUAAAUCAAAAACAAUGAUUUCAGAUUUGAAUUUGGGUUUAUGAUACCAUGAACCUCUUGGAGUUGGAUUCGAAUUUCAGAUUCGGAUUCGGAUUCAAAUUUCAGAUUUUGGUUUGUUUUGAUUUGGGAUAGAUGUGAGAGAAGAGAGAUGUGUUGGUGUGUGAUGGUUUUUUAAGUAUGAGUUUUAUCCCUAGGUUGAUGAUGGGAGAAAUUUGUGAUGUUGUUACCUUUUUGUGCUAAGGAAGAAGAGAUGAACACGAAUGUUGUUGUUAAUUUUUCCAGGGGUUCAGAGAGUUUGCUGCCAAGGAUGAAGAGAGGAAUAUGAGUAGUGUAUUUAUUUUUAAUUUUUGAUUUAUUUUUUAAUUGUUAACUUAUAUAAAUGUGUUUUUUUAAUUAAUAAAAUAUGAUUUGCUGACGUGUGUACAAGUGUUUUUCCACUUGUGAUUUGCCACCUAAGUACUUUUUUGGACACCUCAUAAAAAAAUACGACACAUCAGCUUUUUUGGAAGCUAAAAUGGG